GGAGAGGUGGCAGAGUGGUUGAAUGUACCGGUCUCGAAAACCGGCAGGGCCGCAAGGCCCUCGUGGGUUCGAAUCCCACCCUCUCCGCCA
This 90-nucleotide transfer RNA is filed under the name Betaproteobacteria bacterium. Its description in RNAcentral is "tRNA-Ser". It matches the Rfam family "tRNA". From Rfam's summary of the family: Transfer RNA (tRNA) molecules are approximately 80 nucleotides in length. Lineage: Bacteria; Pseudomonadati; Pseudomonadota; Betaproteobacteria. The record is from RNAcentral.